GAUAGUGUGGCCGAGUGGUAUAUGGCACAGGUUUUACGCAUCAGUCUAUUCGGAAGCAAGGGGUCGAAUCCUUUCACUGUCA
This 82-nucleotide transfer RNA is filed under the name Daphnia pulex (common water flea). It matches the Rfam family "tRNA". Rfam says of the family: Transfer RNA (tRNA) molecules are approximately 80 nucleotides in length. Their secondary structure includes four short double-helical elements and three loops (D, anti-codon, and T loops). The record is from Rfam by way of RNAcentral. Lineage: Eukaryota; Metazoa; Arthropoda; Branchiopoda; Diplostraca; Daphniidae.